This 639-nucleotide ribosomal RNA is filed under the name Pluteus umbrosus. Its description in RNAcentral is "LSU rRNA". It matches the Rfam family "Eukaryotic large subunit ribosomal RNA", at positions 46 to 672 of the family's 3401-position model. The record is from RNAcentral. Lineage: Eukaryota; Fungi; Basidiomycota; Agaricomycetes; Agaricales; Pluteaceae.
AUAAGCGGAGGAAAAGAAACUAACAAGGAUUCCCCUAGUAACUGCGAGUGAAGCGGGAAAAGCUCAAAUUUAAAAUCUGGCGGUCUACGGCCGUCCGAGUUGUAAACUAGAGAAGUGCUAUCCGUGCUGGACCAUGUAUAAGUCUCCUGGAACGGAGCGUCACAGAGGGUGAGAAUCCCGUCUUUGACAUGGACUCCCAGUGCAUUGUGAUGUGCUCUCAAAGAGUCGAGUUGUUUGGGAAUGCAGCUCAAAAUGGGUGGUAAAUUCCAUCUAAAGCUAAAUAUUGGCGAGAGACCGAUAGCGAACAAGUACCGUGAGGGAAAGAUGAAAAGAACUUUGGAAAGAGAGUUAAACAGUACGUGAAAUUGUUGAAAGGGAAACGCUUGAAGUCAGUCGCAUCGGCCGAGAUCAACCUUGCAUUGUGAGGUGUACUCUCCGGUCGAUGGGUCAGCAUCAAUUUUGACCGCUGGAAAAAGGUCAGGGGAAUGUGGCAUCCUUGGAUGUGUUAUAGCCCCUGAUUGUAUGCAGUGGUUGGGAUUGAGGAACUCAGCACGCCGCAAGGCCGGGUUUUACCACGUUCGUGCUUAGGAUGCUGGCAUAAUGGCUUUAAUCGACCCGUCUUGAAACACGGACCAAGGA